Molecule: ribosomal RNA, 25 nt
Filed under: Trichoderma harzianum
Lineage: Eukaryota; Fungi; Ascomycota; Sordariomycetes; Hypocreales; Hypocreaceae
Description: partial 18S ribosomal RNA
Source: RNAcentral
CACGUCUCGUACGUCGGAGGACAUU